Molecule: ribosomal RNA, 275 nt
Filed under: Bacillus anthracis str. 95014
Lineage: Bacteria; Bacillati; Bacillota; Bacilli; Caryophanales; Bacillaceae
Description: partial 23S ribosomal RNA
Rfam family: Bacterial large subunit ribosomal RNA
Source: RNAcentral
UAGGAAUUUGAGAGGAGCUGUCCUUAGUACGAGAGGACCGGGAUGGACGCACCGCUGGUGUACCAGUUGUUCUGCCAAGGGCAUAGCUGGGUAGCUAUGUGCGGAAGGGAUAAGUGCUGAAAGCAUCUAAGCAUGAAGCCCCCCUCAAGAUGAGAUUUCCCAUAGCGUAAGCUAGUAAGAUCCCUGAAAGAUGAUCAGGUUGAUAGGUUCGAGGUGGAAGCAUGGUGACAUGUGGAGCUGACGAAUACUAAUAGAUCGAGGACUUAACCAUAUAA